GACGAACGCUGGCGGCGUGCUUAACACAUGCAAGUCGAACGGUAAGGCCCUUCGGGGUACACGAGUGGCGAAAGGGUGAGUAACACGUGGGUGAUCUGCCCUGCACUUCGCGAUAAGCUUGGGAAACUGGGUCUAAUACCGGAUAGGACUCCGGACUGCAUGGGCUGGGGUGGAAAGCUUUUGCGGGGUGGGAUCGGCCGGCGGCCUAUCAGCUUGCUUGUGGGGUGAUGGCCUACCCAGGCGACGAGGGGUAGCCGGCCUGAGAGGGUGACCGGCCACACUGGGACUUGGAUACGGCCAAGACUCCUACGGGAGGCAGCAGGGGGGAAUAUUGCACAAUGGGCUCAAGCCUGAUGCAGCGACUCCGCGUGAGGGAUGUUGGCCUUCGGGUUGUAAACCUCUUUCAGCAUCGACGAAGCGAAAGUGACGGUAGGUGCAGAAGAAGGACCGGCCAACUACGUGCCAGCCGCCGCCGUAA
Molecule: ribosomal RNA, 478 nt
Filed under: uncultured bacterium
Lineage: Bacteria
Description: partial 16S ribosomal RNA
Rfam family: Bacterial small subunit ribosomal RNA
Source: RNAcentral